ACAGCUCAGUCAGUAGAGCAUGAGAUUCUUAAUCUUAGGGCUGUGGGUUCAAGCCCAACGUUGGGCA
Non-coding RNA from Podarcis lilfordi (Lilford's wall lizard), 67 nucleotides. NCBI's taxonomy places the organism in Eukaryota, Metazoa, Chordata, Lepidosauria, Squamata, Lacertidae. The record is from the annotation of a GenBank genome assembly.